UCAGCAUACUGCCGUGAAUACGUUCCCGGGCCUUGUACACACCGCCCGUCACACCAUGAGAGUUGGAAAUACCCGAAGCCUGUGAGCUAACUUUUAGAGGCAGCAGUCGAAGGUAGAGCCAAUGAUUGGGGUGAAGUCGUAACAAGGUAUC
Molecule: ribosomal RNA, 151 nt
Filed under: uncultured bacterium
Lineage: Bacteria
Description: partial 16S ribosomal RNA
Rfam family: Bacterial small subunit ribosomal RNA
Source: RNAcentral